AUCAACUUUCGAUGGUAGGAUAGAGGCCUACCAUGGUGGUAACGGGUAACGGGGUGUUAGGGCACGACACCGGAGAGGGAGCCUGAGAAACGGCUACCACAUCCAAGGAUGGCAGCAGGCGCGCAAAUUACCCAAUCCCGACACGGGGAGGUAGUGACAAUAAAUAACAAUACGGGGUUCUUUAGGAUCUCGUAAUUGGAAUGAGUACAAUUUAAAUCUCUUAACGAGGAACAAUUGGAGGGCAAGUCUGGUGCCAGCAGCCGCGGUAUUUCCAGCUCCAAUAGCGUAUAUUAAAGUUGUUGCAGUUAAAAAGCUCGUAGUUGAAUUUCGGGGUUAGUAGGUUGGUCAUGCCUCUGGUAUGUACUGGUCUCACUGAUUCCUCCUUCCUUAUGAACCGUAAUGCCAUUAAUUUGGUGUUGCGGGGAAUUUGGACUGUUACUUUGAAAAAAUUAGAGUGUUUAAAGCAAGCUAACGCUUGAAUACAUUAGCAUGGAAUAAUGAAAUAGGACGUUCGAUCUUAUUUUGUUGGUUUCUAGGAUUGACGUAAUGAUUAAUAGGGAUAGUUGGGGGCAUUAGUAUUCAAUUGUCAGAGGUGAAAUUCUUGGAUUUAUUGAAGACUAACUACUGCGAAAGCAUUUGCCAAGGAUGUUUUCAUUAAUCAAGAACGAAAGUUAGGGGAUCGAAGACGAUCAGAUACCGUCGUAGUCUUAACCAUAAACUAUGCCGACUAGGGAUCGGAUGAUGUUAAUUUUUUAAUGACUCAUUCGGCGCCUUACGGGAAACCAAAGUGUUUGGGUUC
This 799-nucleotide ribosomal RNA is filed under the name uncultured Glomus. Its description in RNAcentral is "SSU rRNA". It matches the Rfam family "Eukaryotic small subunit ribosomal RNA", at positions 314 to 1114 of the family's 1831-position model. Lineage: Eukaryota; Fungi; Glomeromycota; Glomeromycetes; Glomerales; Glomeraceae. The record is from RNAcentral.